This 465-nucleotide ribosomal RNA is filed under the name uncultured bacterium. RNAcentral describes it as "partial 16S ribosomal RNA". It matches the Rfam family "Bacterial small subunit ribosomal RNA", at positions 28 to 507 of the family's 1533-position model. The record is from RNAcentral.
GACGAACGCUGGCGGCGUGCUUAACACAUGCAAGUCGAACGGAAAGGCCCUGCUUGCAGGGUACUCGAGUGGCGAACGGGUGAGUAACACGUGGGUGAUCUGCCCUGCACUUCGGGAUAAGCCUGGGAAACUGGGUCUAAUACCGGCUAGGAGCCAUUUUUAGUGUGAUGGUUGGAAAGUUUUUUCGGUGCAGGAUGAGCUCGCGGCCUAUCAGCUUGUUGGUGGGGUGAUGGCCUACCAAGGCGGCGACGGGUAGCCGGCCUGAGAGGGUGGACGGCGACAUUGGCACUGAGAGACGGCCCAGACACCGACGGGAGGCAGCAGUGGGGAAUAUUGCACAAUGGGCGCAAGCCUGAUGCAGCGACGCCGCGUGGGGGAUGACGGCCUUCGGGUUGUAAACUCCUUUCGCAAGGGACGAAGCAUUUUGUGACGGUACCUAGAUAAGAAGCACCGGCUAACUACGUG